Long non-coding RNA from Ailuropoda melanoleuca (giant panda), 1784 nucleotides. RefSeq lists it as uncharacterized. The record is from RefSeq and is a predicted model, not a curated record. The transcript is spliced from 4 exons. NCBI's taxonomy places the organism in Eukaryota, Metazoa, Chordata, Mammalia, Carnivora, Ursidae.
AUGAGGAGCACCUGCAGAACAGAAGAGAAGCAAGGGCAGGAGGGGACAGCAACCUUGGCCCUGAGGCUGUGCUUGGCCUUCCAUGGUGCAUUCAGCUGACCUUUCGAUCUGUGCGCUUACAGAGGGUUGAAACUCACUUAAGCCAUGGCUACUAAUGAGCACUCAAUGGAUGAAGAGGGUGGAUGGUUAGAGAAGACUAUUUCUGUCUGGCUCAAGAACCUGAGAUUACCUGCUCCUCGAAUAAUGGGCAAUUGGCCAUGAAGGUAUAGUUACCUGAAAGAGGACAAAUUUGGCUCCUAUAUUCUGUGCGCCCAGGUGCAUCUUGGCUUGACGGAAGAUGAUGGCCAGGGACCAGAGAGCCAACAGUGUGGACACACCAAGGACAGUGUUGAUCCACAGAGCUGUGCUUUCCUCAGAAAUCUGGUGGCAGAUCAGAAAGCAGUCAGUGAGGCUCUUGGAUCCACUGCCGCAGCACAAAAGCUAAGAAAGAGAGAAGUUUCUUAGCAUCCAUAGCCUGACACUACUGCUGACCGUGAAACUCGUUUAUCUUCUUUGAAGAUUGUCCCCUACCUUAUUUUUCUGCAUCUUAAUAGAUAUUAGCGUUCUACGGCCAGAGGAUUUUUGGAAAUGCCUUAAACAAAAUUAAACCUAUUUCUUCCCAUACUCAAGCUUGUAAUCUGAUUUAUACUGUAAUUUCCUAGUGGAGGUUAUAGAAUACAACUUUUACAAAACUUAUUUUUCUAUAGAUUCUGUGUUCAUGAAGCAGUCCUUGAGAUUAGAAUUCUGAGAAACACACUUUGGGAAAUGCUUGUCAUUUUGAAUACAAUUAUACCUUUAGCAACUAGGAAUUUCCCACUGUGUCUGCAAUAGUGAAGAUUAUUUUUUUUAAUAAUGAAAACAAUAUUAGAGCAUUAAAAUUUUGAAAGAGUGUCCCCCAUAAUUCCAGCUAGCUCCUAACCAAAAGUUAUUUUCAUUUUGCGUAUUUGUCUUCAUGGGAGUUAAGAGCAUAAGCUCUGGAGUCAGAGACACCUGAGUUCAAAGUAAAAUCCCACUUACUGCUUGCUCUUGACCUUGGACAGGUUCUUCAUCCUCUCAUUAACCUCUUAGCACAGCACCUGGCGUGUAGUAUUUGUUCAAUAAAAAGCAGCUUUAAAAAACACCCUGGUUAAAGUGCAUACCUAUUGUAUUACUGCAAUUAUACUAUAAAAUCGUGUACGUUUUUAACUAGCAUUUCGUCACAGCCAUUGAAAACGAUUUUUUAUAAGUAUUUUUUAAAUUACAAAAAUUUCAAAAAUAAAGAGAAUCAUAGAGCAAACAGGAAUAUAUAUACCCAUAACCCAUUUUAAGGAGUGUUACAAUGUUGCCAAUUUUGCUUCAAAAAUUAUUUUUAGAAGCAUAAAACAUUACAGAUGUAUUUGAGGGCCCUUGCACAUACCUCCUGGAUCAUUUCCCCUUCCCCACCUCACCUCCCAGAGCUAACUACUGUUCUGAAGUUGGUGUAUAUCUUUCUCCCUUAUGUUUUAAUUUUUCACAACAUAGGUACAUACUCAACAUACCAUAUUGCUUUGCAUUUUACAAAAUCUACAGAAAUGGGGGCACCUAGGUGACUCAGUCGGUUAAGUGGUUAAGCAUGUCUGCCUUAGGCUCAGGUCAUGAUUCCAGAGUUCUAGGGUGGAGCCCGAGGACCCCCACCUCUGACUUCCUACUCUUCGGGGAGUCUGCUUUGCCCUCUGCCCCUCCCCCACUUGUGCUCUCCCUCUCUCUCUGCUCUCUCUGUCUCUCAA